RNAcentral lists this small nuclear RNA (149 nucleotides) under Camelus bactrianus (Bactrian camel). RNAcentral describes it as "U1 spliceosomal RNA". It matches the Rfam family "U1 spliceosomal RNA". From Rfam's summary of the family: U1 is a small nuclear RNA (snRNA) component of the spliceosome (involved in pre-mRNA splicing). Its 5' end forms complementary base pairs with the 5' splice junction, thus defining the 5' donor site of an intron. There are significant differences in sequence and secondary structure between metazoan and yeast U1 snRNAs, the latter being much longer (568 nucleotides as compared to 164 nucleotides in human). Lineage: Eukaryota; Metazoa; Chordata; Mammalia; Artiodactyla; Camelidae. The record is from Rfam by way of RNAcentral. RNAcentral also lists the same sequence under 1 other name.
AUACUUGCCUGGCAGAGGAGACACCAUGAUCACGAAGGUGGUUUUCCCAGGGUGAGGCUUAUCCAUUGCACUCUUGCAACUUCCCCAAAUGUGCGAAACUUGACUCCAUAAUUUGUGGUGGGGGGGGACUGCGUUUGUGCUUCCCCACC